GAUGAACGCUGGCGGCGUGCCUAAUACAUGCAAGUCGAGCGAACGGACGAGAAGCUUGCUUCUCUGAUGUUAGCGGCGGACGGGUCAGUAACACGUGGAUAACCUACCUAUAAGACUGGGAUAACUUCGGGAAACCGUAGCUAAUACCGGAUAAUAUUUUGAACCGCAUGGUUCAAAAGUGAAAGACGGUCUUGCUGUCACUUAUAGAUGGAUCCGCGCUGCAUUAGCUAGUUGGUAAGGUAACGGCUUACCAAGGCAACGAUGCAUAGCCGACCUGAGAGGGUGAUCGGCCACACUGGAACUGAGACACGGUCCAGACUCCUACGGGAGGCAGCAGUAGGGAAUCUUCCGCAAUGGGCGAAAGCCUGACGGAGCAACGCCGCGUGAGUGAUGAAGGUCUUCGGAUCGUAAAACUCUGUUAUUAGGGAAGAACAUAUGUGUAAGUAACUGUGCACAUCUUGACGGUACCUAAUCAGAAAGCCACGGCUAACUACGUG
Molecule: ribosomal RNA, 497 nt
Filed under: uncultured bacterium
Lineage: Bacteria
Description: partial 16S ribosomal RNA
Rfam family: Bacterial small subunit ribosomal RNA
Source: RNAcentral